AGCCGCGGUAACACGUAGGGGGCAAGCGUUGUCCGGAAUUACUGGGCGUAAAGGGCGUGUAGGCGGCCAUGUAUGUCAGGUGUGAAAGGCCUCGGCUUAACCGAGGCAUUGCACAUGAAACUGUAUGGCUUGAGUGCAGGAGAGGGGAGUGGAAUUCCUAGUGUAGCGGUGAAAUGCGUAGAUAUUAGGAGGAACACCAGUGGCGAAGGCGACUUCCUGGACUGUAACUGACGCUGAGGCGCGAAAGCGUGGGUAGCAAACAGGAUUAGAUACCCUGGUAGUCCACGCCGUAAACGAUGGGUACUAGGUGUGGGUAGUUCACUCUAUCCGUGCCGCAGCAAACGCAUUAAGUACCCCGCCUGGGGAGUACGGCCGCAAGGUUAAAACUCAAAGGAAUUGACGGGGGCCCGCACAAGCAGCGGAGCAUGUGGUUUAAUUCGAAGCAACGCGAAGAACCUUACCAGGGCUUGACAUCCACAGUAGGCAUUAGAGAUAGUGCUGUGCCUCGUAAGAGGAACUGUGAGACAGGUGGUGCAUGGCC
This 541-nucleotide ribosomal RNA is filed under the name uncultured archaeon. Its description in RNAcentral is "bacterial SSU rRNA". It matches the Rfam family "Bacterial small subunit ribosomal RNA", at positions 513 to 1050 of the family's 1533-position model. The record is from RNAcentral.